This 497-nucleotide ribosomal RNA is filed under the name uncultured bacterium. Its description in RNAcentral is "partial 16S ribosomal RNA". It matches the Rfam family "Bacterial small subunit ribosomal RNA", at positions 28 to 507 of the family's 1533-position model. The record is from RNAcentral.
GAUGAACGCUGGCGGCGUGCCUAAUACAUGCCAGUCGAGCGAACAGACGAGGAGCUUGCUCCUCUGACGUUAGCGGCGGACGGGUGAGUAACACGUGGAUAACCUACCUAUAAGACUGGGAUAACUUCGGGAAACCGGAGCUAAUACCGGAUAAUAUAUUGAACCGCAUGGUUCAAUAGUGAAAGACGGUUUUGCUGUCACUUAUAGAUGGAUCCGCGCCGCAUUAGCUAGUUGGUAAGGUAACGGCUUACCAAGGCGACGAUGCGUAGCCGACCUGAGAGGGUGAUCGGCCAGACUGGAACUGAGACACGUUCCGGACUCCUACGGGAGGCAGCAGUAGGGAAUCUUCCGCAAUGGGCGAAAGCCUGACGGAGCAACGCCGCGGGAGUGAUGAAGGUCUUCGGAUCGUAAAACUCUGUUAUUAGGGAAGAACAAAUGUGUAAGUAACUAUGCACGUCUUGACGGUACCUAAUCAGAAAGCCACGGCUAACUACGUG